This 253-nucleotide ribosomal RNA is filed under the name uncultured bacterium. RNAcentral describes it as "partial 16S ribosomal RNA". It matches the Rfam family "Bacterial small subunit ribosomal RNA", at positions 524 to 776 of the family's 1533-position model. The record is from RNAcentral.
UACGGGGGGGGCAAGCGUUGUUCGGAAUUACUGGGCGUAAAGGGCUUGUAGGUGGCCAACUAAGUCAGACGUGAAAUCCCUCGGCUUAACCGGGGAACUGCGUCUGAUACUGGAUGGCUAGAGUGUGGGAGAGGGAUGCGGAAUUCCCAGUGUAGCGGUGAAAUGCGUAGAUAUUGGGAGGAACACCAGUGGCGAAGGCGGCUCACUGGACCGGUACUGACGCUGAGGCGCGAAAGCGUGGGGAGCAAACGGG